Molecule: ribosomal RNA, 433 nt
Filed under: uncultured bacterium
Lineage: Bacteria
Description: partial 16S ribosomal RNA
Rfam family: Bacterial small subunit ribosomal RNA
Source: RNAcentral
AGCGAACGCUGGCGGCAGGCCUAACACAUGCAAGUCGAACGAACUCUUCGGAGUUAGUGGCGGACGGGUGAGUAACACGUGGGAACGUGCCUUUAGGUUCGGAAUAACUCAGGGAAACUUGUGCUAAUACCGAAUGUGCCCUUCGGGGGAAAGAUUUAUCGCCUUUAGAGCGGCCCGCGUCUGAUUAGCUAGUUGGUGAGGUAAAGGCUCACCAAGGCGACGAUCAGUAGCUGGUCUGAGAGGAUGAUCAGCCACAUUGGGACUGAGACACGGCCCAAACUCCUACGGGAGGCAGCAGUGGGGAAUCUUGCGCAAUGGGCGAAAGCCUGACGCAGCCAUGCCGCGUGAAUGAUGAAGGUCUUAGGAUUGUAAAAUUCUUUCACCGGGGACGAUAAUGACGGUACCCGGAUAAGAAGCCCCGGCUAACUUCGUG